UCCAGGUGCGACACAACUAGGGCCUGUAGGACCUGCCUUGUUCAUAGUGUUGUUAAGAAGUUAGAAACUAGGGCCUGUAGGACCUGCCUUGUUGAUAGUGUUGUUAAGGAGUUAGAAACUAGGGCCUGUAGGACCUGCCUUGUUGAUAGUGUUGUUAAGAAGGUAGAAACUAGGGCCUGUAGGACCUGCCUUGGUGAUAGUGUAGUUAAGAAGGUAGAAACUAGGGCCUGUAGGACCUGCCUUGUUGAUAGUGUUGUUAAGAAGGUAGAAACUAGGGCCUGUAGGACCUGCCUUCGUGAUAGUGUUGUUAAGAAGGUAGAAACUAGGGCCUGUUGGACCUGCCUUGGUGAUAGUGUUGUUAAGAAGGUAGAAACUAGGGCCUGUUGGACCUGCCUUGGUGAUAGUGUUGUUAAGAAGGUAGAAACUAGGGCCUGUAGGACCUGCCUUGUUGAUGGUGUUGUUAAGAAGGUAGAAACGAGGGCCUGUAGGACCUGCCUUGUUGAUAGUGUUGUUAAGAAGGUAGAAACUAGGGCCUGUUGGACCUGCCUUGUUGAUAGUGUUGUUAAGAAGGUAGAAACUAGGGCCUGUUGGACCUGCCUUGUUGAUAGUGUUGUUAAGAAGGUAGAAACUAGGGCCUGUUGGACCUGCCUUGUUGAUAGUGUUGUUAAGAAGGUAGAAACUAGGGCCUGUAGGACCUGCCUUGUUGAUAGUGUUGUUAAGAAGGUAGAAACUAGGACCUGCCUUGUUGAUAGUGUUGUUAAGAAGGUAGAAACUAGUGCCUGUAGGACCUGCCUUGUUGAUAGUGUUGUUAAGAAGGUAGAAACUAGUGCCUGUAGGACCUGCCUUGUUGAUAGUGUUGUUAAGAAGGUAGAAACUAGUGCCUGUAGGACCUGCCUUGUUGAUAGUGUUGUUAAGAAGGUAGAAACUAGGGUCUGUAGGACCUGCCUUGUUGAUAGUGUUGUUAAGAAGGUAGAAACUAGGGCCUGUAGGACCUGCCUUGUUGAUAGUGCUGUUAUGAUAGAAACUAGGGCCUGCCUUGUUGAUAGUGCUGUUAUGAUAGAAACUAGGGCCUGCCUUGUUGAUAGUGCUGUUAUGAUAGAAACUAGGGCCUGUAGGACCUGCCUUGUUGAUAAUGUUGUUAAGAAGGUAGAGCAUCACUUUAUUAUGGACAGACUUCUCCCCAUCUUAGCUACUGUCGUAUCAAUAUGUUUUGACCAGGACAGUUUACAAUCCAGGGUUACACCAAGCAGGUUUAGUCACCUCAACUUGCUCAAUUUCCAUAUUAUUCAUUAUGCAAUUUAG
This is a long non-coding RNA of Oncorhynchus kisutch (coho salmon), 1302 nucleotides long. NCBI's taxonomy places the organism in Eukaryota, Metazoa, Chordata, Actinopteri, Salmoniformes, Salmonidae. The record is from Ensembl.